UCCCUGGUAGUAUAUCGGAUUAGUACACGCGCCUGUCAUUUCCACUGACCGCGCGAGAGCGGGGUUCGACUCCCCGCCAGGGAG
Russula earlei is the source of this 84-nucleotide non-coding RNA. Lineage: Eukaryota; Fungi; Basidiomycota; Agaricomycetes; Russulales; Russulaceae. The record is from the annotation of a GenBank genome assembly.